Molecule: ribosomal RNA, 329 nt
Filed under: uncultured Bacteroidota bacterium
Lineage: Bacteria; Pseudomonadati; Bacteroidota
Description: bacterial SSU rRNA
Rfam family: Bacterial small subunit ribosomal RNA
Source: RNAcentral
GAUGAACGCUAGCGGCAGGCCUAACACAUGCAAGUCGAGGGGUAACAGGGGAAAGCUUGCUUUCCCGCUGACGACCGGCGAACGGGUGCGUAACACGUAUGUAAUCUGCCUCUUACAGGGGGAUAGCCCAGAGAAAUCUGGAUUAAUACCCCAUAAUAUCAUUGGAUCGCCUGAUUUGAUGAUUAAAGAAUUUCGGUAAGAGAUGAGCAUGCGUCCGAUUAGCUAGUUGGUGAGGUAACGGCUCACCAAGGCUACGAUCGGUAGGGGUUCUGAGAGGAUGAUCCCCCACACUGGUACUGAGACACGGACCAGACUCCUACGGGUGGCAG